This 492-nucleotide ribosomal RNA is filed under the name uncultured bacterium. RNAcentral's name for it is "partial 16S ribosomal RNA". It matches the Rfam family "Bacterial small subunit ribosomal RNA", at positions 29 to 507 of the family's 1533-position model. The record is from RNAcentral.
AGUGAACGCUGGCGGUAGGCCUAACACAUGCAAGUCGAACGGCAGCACAGUAAGAGCUUGCUCUUACGGGUGGCGAGUGGCGGACGGGUGAGGAAUACAUCGGAAUCUACUUUUUCGUGGGGGAUAACGUAGGGAAACUUACGCUAAUACCGCAUACGACCUACGGGUGAAAGCAGGGGAUCUUCGGACCUUGCGCGAUUGAAUGAGCCGAUGUCGGAUUAGCUAGUUGGCGGGGUAAAGGCCCACCAAGGCGACGAUCCGUAGCUGGUCUGAGAGGAUGAUCAGCGACACUGGAACUGAGACACGGUCCAGACUCCUCCGGGAGGCAGCAGUGGGGAAUAUUAGACAAUGGGCGCAAGCCUGAUCCAGACAUACCGCGUGGGUGAAGAAGGCCUUCGGGUUGUAAAGCCCUUUUGUUGGGAAAGAAAAGCAGCAGGUUAAUACCCCGCUGUUCUGACGGUACCCAAAGAAUAAGCACCGGCUAACUUCGUG